Molecule: ribosomal RNA, 253 nt
Filed under: uncultured bacterium
Lineage: Bacteria
Description: partial 16S ribosomal RNA
Rfam family: Bacterial small subunit ribosomal RNA
Source: RNAcentral
UACGGGGGGGGCAAGCGUUGUUCGGAAUUACUGGGCGUAAAGGGUUUGUAGGUGGCCAACUAAGUCAGACGUGAAAUCCCUCAGCUUAACUGGGGAACUGCGUCUGAUACUGGUUGGCUUGAGUGCAGGAGAGGAAUGCGGAAUUCCAGGUGUAGCGGUGAAAUGCGUAGAUAUCUGGAGGAGCACCGGUGGCGAAGGCGGCAUUCUGGACUGCAACUGACACUGAAGAACGAAAGCCAGGGGAGCAAACGGG